This 310-nucleotide transfer-messenger RNA is filed under the name Alphaproteobacteria bacterium. RNAcentral describes it as "partial transfer-messenger RNA". It matches the Rfam family "Alphaproteobacteria transfer-messenger RNA", at positions 80 to 355 of the family's 355-position model. Rfam says of the family: Bacterial tmRNA, also known as 10Sa RNA or SsrA, is named for its dual tRNA and mRNA-like properties. The record is from RNAcentral. Lineage: Bacteria; Pseudomonadati; Pseudomonadota; Alphaproteobacteria.
AGCAGAGCGGACCCGGGGGCGGUACCCGGCGCCUCCACCAUUUUAGCCCGAAACGACGGCCAUCACGGCCAGCAGCAGAAUUUGGGCUAAAAGAUUGGGGGCGAAAUAGGAUCGACGCAUGUGGUAAAGGCAGUAUUUUUGCUCGGUAUGGUACCCGCCGUUAUCGGGCCAUGUAGUAGUUGCAAAUGACAACACUGCUCCGGUAGCAAUCGCAGCCUAAAGGCAGCGGGAGUAACCGAUCUUAAGUCCAGAUCGAUUGAGCUCGGUCUGGCGGGGUUUGGGGCGCACCUGGCAACAGAAGCGUUCCGCU